Salvelinus sp. IW2-2015 is the source of this 744-nucleotide non-coding RNA. The record is from RefSeq and is a predicted model, not a curated record. NCBI's taxonomy places the organism in Eukaryota, Metazoa, Chordata, Actinopteri, Salmoniformes, Salmonidae.
GUGUGUGUGUGUGUGUGCGUCAGUGUGUGUGUCUUCGUUAAUGUAUUCCUCUAUCUGGCUCCUGGGAGUGUGUGCGUGUGGUAGUCAUGGAUUUUGCUCUUUACCUCUCCAGUCUGCUCUCUGUUUUCAUCCACUGCUCAGUGGCAUAGAUGAAGAGUGACGCAAAAAAACACGCUGCCAAUCAGAUGACUUUGAAGGAGUACCUGGAGGUCCCACCCCACCAUCCAGUCCACACAUCUACCCGCAUCAGUCCUCCACUCCUGUACGGACUACUCUACCACCAGCUGGGCCUCUGUCCGAGGCCAUGACACKAGUGCCCGGCCUGGCCUCUGUCCGUGCCCGACACCUGUGCCCGGCUGGGCCUCUGUUCAUGAUCUCCACACCUAUGCUCGGCUGUCACUCAGUUAGACCCAUCCUCUGCUCCUUACGGGCUGGGCAUUCUGAUGGAGCCAGCGAUCAGUCGCUCUCCAUUUUAUAAUUAUUUAUAAUUGUCAUUAUUUGUGUUAAAUUGUUUGUCCCUCUGUGGUGUUUAUUUAACUGUAUAUACAGCAUCAUACUCAAAAGUUUUCUCCCCUUCCUCUUAAUUCACUCUGAGCAUAAAAGCCCUAAGCUGAAUUCUGUAAUUACAUUUCAACCGAUUAAUGUCAGUCUUUGAAUGCUGUAUAAACUAUUUAAUUUUCCUGCUUGUGUGCUAUGUGCACUGAUUUCAAACAAUUAAAAUGAUGUUUAUCAUUCUCAGUCUUC